AUGUUGUCUUCCGUUCGCACGCGUAUAUAUAUACCCGGCCACACGCGCCAUAUUAUCAUCAACUGCUUUCAAGGCAUACACCUACAAAUCAAGCUCCCAGCUCCCAAUCAGCUAGUCAGCAGCAACACUACCGCCUCUCAAAAAAGAAGAUCGAUGAAUAGUCACUCGAUCAUGGCGGUGCCGUCGGUGUUCGCCGCCUUCGACAAGGACGGCGACGGCAAGGUUUCUGUGUCCGAGCUACGGCGCUGCAUGGAGGCGACGCUGGGCGAGGACGUGCCCGAGGAGGAGGCGGCGGUGACCCUUGCUGCGGUGGACGCGGACGGCGACGGGCUGCUAAACCAAGAAGAGUUCUCGAGACUGGCCACCGCCGGCACCCAUGAAGAGGACGAUGCCGACGUCAAGCGAAGGUGCCUGAGGGAGGCAUUCGGGAUGUACGCGUCGUCGUCUGCGGAAGACACGAUUACCCCAGCGAGCUUGAGGCGGACGCUGAGCAGGCUGGGGUCGCACGAGCUGGGCGUGGAGGAGUGCAGGGCAAUGAUCUGCAGGUUCGACCUCGACGGGGACGGCAAACUCUCGUUCGACGAGUUCCGGAUCAUGAUGAUGGCCUGA
RNAcentral lists this ribosomal RNA (609 nucleotides) under Triticum aestivum (bread wheat). RNAcentral's name for it is "partial small subunit ribosomal RNA". The record is from RNAcentral. Lineage: Eukaryota; Viridiplantae; Streptophyta; Magnoliopsida; Poales; Poaceae.